This 245-nucleotide ribosomal RNA is filed under the name uncultured bacterium. RNAcentral describes it as "partial 16S ribosomal RNA". It matches the Rfam family "Bacterial small subunit ribosomal RNA", at positions 89 to 334 of the family's 1533-position model. RNAcentral also lists the same sequence under 1 other name. The record is from RNAcentral.
UUUCGAGUGGCGGACGGGUGAGUAACGCGUGGGUAACCUGCCUCAUACAGGGGGAUAACAGUUGGAAACGACUGUUAAUACCGCAUAAGACCACAGCACCGCAUGGUGCGGGGGUAAAAACUCCGGUGGUAUGAGAUGGACCCGCGUUCGAUUAGCCAGUUGGCGGGGUAACGGCCCACCAAAGCGACGAUCGAUAGCCGAUCUGAGAGGAUGACCGGCCACAUUGGGACUGAGACACGGCCCAA